GACGCAGUAUGACCCAGCAUGUUUCAGAGCUAUGCUGGAAACAGCAUAGCAAGUUGAAAUAAGGCUAGUCCGUUAUCAACUUGAAAAAGUGGCACCGAGUCGGUGCUUUUUUU
RNAcentral lists this small RNA (113 nucleotides) under Vector pAAVsc_gSerpina1e. RNAcentral's name for it is "Serpina1e-gRNA4". The stretch from base 22 to 113 matches the Rfam family "Trans-activating crRNA". From Rfam's summary of the family: RNA-guided Streptococcus pyogenes Cas9 (SpCas9) is a sequence-specific DNA endonuclease, the Trans-activating CRISPR RNA form an hybrid with the crRNA (crRNA/tracrRNA). The record is from RNAcentral.